This 485-nucleotide ribosomal RNA is filed under the name uncultured bacterium. RNAcentral describes it as "partial 16S ribosomal RNA". It matches the Rfam family "Bacterial small subunit ribosomal RNA", at positions 30 to 507 of the family's 1533-position model. The record is from RNAcentral.
AUUGAACGCUGGCGGCAGGCUUAACACAUGCAAGUCGAGCGGGGGAAGGUAGCUUGCUACCGGACCUAGCGGCGGACGGGUGAGUAAUGCUUAGGAAUCUGCCUAUUAGUGGGGGACAACAUCUCGAAAGGGAUGCUAAUACCGCAUACGUCCUACGGGAGAAAGCAGGGGAUCUUCGGACCUUGCGCUAAUAGAUGAGCCUAAGUCGGAUUAGCUAGUUGGUGGGGUAAAGGCCUACCAAGGCGACGAUCUGUAGCGGGUCUGAGAGGAUGAUCCGCCACACUGGGACUGAGACACGGCCCAGACUCCUACGGGAGGCAGCAGUGGGGAAUAUUGGACAAUGGGGGGAACCCUGAUCCAGCCAUGCCGCGUGUGUGAAGAAGGCCUUAUGGUUGUAAAGAACUUUAAGCGAGGAGGAGGCUACUUUAGUUAAUACCUAGAGAUAGUGGACGUUACUCGCAGAAUAAGCACCGGCUAACUCUGUG